RNAcentral lists this ribosomal RNA (307 nucleotides) under uncultured bacterium. Its description in RNAcentral is "bacterial SSU rRNA". It matches the Rfam family "Bacterial small subunit ribosomal RNA", at positions 37 to 334 of the family's 1533-position model. The record is from RNAcentral.
GGAUCGAACGGCGUGGCGGCGUGCCUAAUACAUGCAAGUCGAACGGCGAGCAGCAAUGCUCGAGUGGCGAACGGGUGAGUAAUACAUAAGUAACCUGCCCUAGACAGGGGGAUAACUGCUGGAAACGGCAGCUAAGACCGCAUAGGUAUGGACACUGCAUGGUGACCAUAUUAAAAGUGCCAAGGCACUGGUAGAGGAUGGACUUAUGGCGCAUUAGCUGGUUGGUGAGGUAACGGCUCACCAAGGCGACGAUGCGUAGCCGACCUGAGAGGGUGACCGGCCACAAGGGGACUGAGACACGGCCCUU